RNAcentral lists this ribosomal RNA (724 nucleotides) under uncultured Fusobacterium sp. RNAcentral describes it as "bacterial SSU rRNA". It matches the Rfam family "Bacterial small subunit ribosomal RNA", at positions 28 to 776 of the family's 1533-position model. Lineage: Bacteria; Fusobacteriati; Fusobacteriota; Fusobacteriia; Fusobacteriales; Fusobacteriaceae. The record is from RNAcentral.
GAUGAACGCUGACAGAAUGCUUAACACAUGCAAGUCGACUCGAGUCUUCGGACUUGGGUGGCGCACGGGUGAGUAACGCGUAAAGAACUUGCCUCUUAGACCGGGACAACAUCUGGAAACGGAUGCUAAUACCGGAUAUUAUGGUUUUUUCGCAUGGAGGAAUCAUGAAAGCUGGAUGCGCUAAGAGAGAGCUUUGCGUCCCAUUAGCUAGUUGGUGAGGUAACGGCCCACCAAGGCAAUGAUGGGUAGCCGGCCUGAGAGGGUGAACGGCCACAAGGGGACUGAGACACGGCCCUUACUCCUACGGGAGGCAGCAGUGGGGAAUAUUGGACAAUGGACCACAAGUCUGAUCCAGCAAUUCUGUGUGCACGAUGACGUUUUUCGGAAUGUAAAGUGCUUUCAGUCGGGAAGAAGUCAGUGACGGUACCGACAGAAGAAGCGACGGCUAAAUACGUGCCAGCAGCCGCGGUAAUACGUAUGUCGCAAGCGUUAUCCGGAUUUAUUGGGCGUAAAGCGCGUCUAGGCGGCAAGGAAAGUCUGAUGUGAAAAUGCGGAGCUCAACUCCGUAUGGCGUUGGAAACUGCCUUACUAGAGUACUGGAGAGGUAGGCGGAACUACAAGUGUAGAGGUGAAAUUCGUAGAUAUUUGUAGGAAUGCCGAUGGGGAAGCCAGCCUACUGGACAGAUACUGACGCUAAAGCGCGAAAGCGUGGGUAGCAAACAGG